AUUGAACGCUGGCGGCAUGCCUUACACAUGCAAGUCGAACGGUAACAGGUCUUCGGAUGCUGACGAGUGGCGAACGGGUGAGUAAUACAUCGGAACGUGCCUAGUAGUGGGGGAUAACUACUCGAAAGAGUGGCUAAUACCGCAUGAGAUCUACGGAUGAAAGCAGGGGAUCGCAAGACCUUGUGCUACUAGAGCGGCCGAUGGCAGAUUAGGUAGUUGGUGGGAUAAAAGCUUACCAAGCCGACGAUCUGUAGCUGGUCUGAGAGGACGAUCAGCCACGCGGGGACUGAGACACGGCCCAGACUCCUACGGGAGGCAGCAGUGGGGAAUUUUGGACAAUGGGCGAAAGCCUGAUCCAGCAAUGCCGCGUGCAGGAUGAAGGCCUUCGGGUUGUAAACUGCUCUUGUACGGAACGAAAAGCCCCGGGUUAAUACCCUGGGGUCAUGACGGUACCGUAAGAAUAAGCACCGGCUAACUACGUGCCAGCCGCCGCGGUAA
Molecule: ribosomal RNA, 498 nt
Filed under: uncultured bacterium
Lineage: Bacteria
Description: partial 16S ribosomal RNA
Rfam family: Bacterial small subunit ribosomal RNA
Source: RNAcentral